Molecule: long non-coding RNA, 190 nt
Organism: Apis florea (little honeybee)
Lineage: Eukaryota; Metazoa; Arthropoda; Insecta; Hymenoptera; Apidae
Gene: Sema2a
Source: RefSeq, a predicted model, not a curated record
AUUUAUUAGUACGUAUUUGUGAGUGAUUAAGUGAGUGAUUGCUGAGAGAUUGGUUGUGUGUAUUUGGUUCCCUGCUUCAUCAUCCCAUCGAGACACAAGAAAAGAGUGGCGAAGCUAAUACACACCCGAGUCUUGCCACCCCAUCGAAGGCAACGAAGCAGUGCCUCGCCAGCAUUGGCAUAGCUUCCAG